CUCUGCAUCCCUAGAGGAAGAGAGCCCGCCUGGGCGCCCCUGAGCCGCUCCCCAGGGGAGAGAGGAGAUCUCUGUUUACUCAAGACCGAAAGCAGCCGGAUUCAAGGUAUUCCAGACAACUCAGGCCCAUCUGCUACACUUGAUGGAAGAAGGGAUCGUGUAUCUUCUGCAAAGGAGAGCCAGAGAGAGUGCUGCUGGAGACGGGUAACUCAGCAGCAACAUCUCACAGAAACACAGGCAGGAAGGAAUGAUCCACUGGAUGAUGUCGCCCACUUGAAAGAACGCCCUAUAAAAGCAUCCUGCAAGCAGGGGCCAGACUGGCAACACAGGUUCCUCUCCACCAUGCUUAGUUCGCCUGCUCUCCGAAGGACACAGGUGCACGGCUCUCCUCAAAGCCUCAGUGUGGUGACAUACCUAAAAGGCAUGUGUGCACUGUCCACGGCAGAUGUGCUCAGAAACACGUGGGGUGCUUCCUGUGACGACUCUGACACGAUUCAUAUGUCCAACUACUGUUAAUUGAGGGCACCGUGUGCGCUCCCAGACUCUCCAGUCUGUCCCCAAAGCGUCUGGGGAGAUUUAGGCAUCCCCUAGAAAAUGUGAUAAUGAGGCAGGUGUAGUUCUGUACAAGACAGAUGGGCUGGAGGGGGAAGACUAACCCAGCUCCCCGUCCGAUAGAAACACAAGAGAAGCUGUGUUUAAUGUCACAUUCGCUAGUAGCUUCUUAAAGAGGAGAAAAUAAAUAGCUGAAGUUAGUGUCUUGACA
Molecule: long non-coding RNA, 763 nt
Filed under: Mus spicilegus (steppe mouse)
Lineage: Eukaryota; Metazoa; Chordata; Mammalia; Rodentia; Muridae
Description: lncRNA (ENSMSIG00000031169.1)
Source: RNAcentral